Molecule: ribosomal RNA, 1293 nt
Filed under: uncultured bacterium
Lineage: Bacteria
Description: partial 16S ribosomal RNA
Rfam family: Bacterial small subunit ribosomal RNA
Source: RNAcentral
UUCGCCCUUAGAGUUUGAUCCUGGCUCAGGACGAACGCUGGCGGCGUGCUUAACACAUGCAAGUCGAACGGAGGUUACGAGGAAGCUUGCGAAUUGUAACCUUAGUGGCGGACGGGUGAGUAACGCGUGGAUAACCUGCCUGACAGACCGGGACAACACCGGGAAACUGGUGCUAAUACCGGAUACGCUCAAGAGUGCCCAUGCACACUUGAGGAAAGGAGCAAUCCGCUGACAGAUGGGUCCGCGUCCCAUUAGCUAGUUGGAGGUGUAAAGGACCACCAAGGCGACGAUGGGUAGCCGGCCUGAGAGGGUGGACGGCCACACUGGAACUGAGACACGGUCCAGACUCCUACGGGAGGCAGCAGUGGGGAAUCUUCCGCAAUGGGCGAAAGCCUGACGAAGCAACGCCGCGUGAGUGAUUAAGGCCUUCGGGUUGUAAAACUCUGUCAUCAGGGAAGAAAAUAAUGACGGUACCUGAGGAGGAAGCCCCGGCUAACUACGUGCCAGCAGCCGCGGUAAAACGUAGGGGGCGAGCGUUGUCCGGAAUUACUGGGCGUAAAGGGCGCGUAGGCGGUUGUCCAAGUCAGAGGUGAAAACUCUGGGCUCAACUCAGAGCGUGCCUCUGAAACUGGGCGACUUGAGGGCAGGAGAGGGGAGUGGAAUUCCCAGUGUAGCGGUGAAAUGCGUAGAUAUUGGGAGGAACACCAGUGGCGAAGGCGACUCUCUGGCCUGUUUCUGACGCUGAGGCGCAAAAGCGUGGGGAGCAAACGGGAUUAGAUACCCCGGUAGUCCACGCCGUAAACGAUGCGUGCCACGUGUAGGAGGGAUCGACCCCUUCUGUGCCGUACCUACCCAAUAAACACCCCGCCUGGGGAGUCUGGCCGCCGGGUUGGUGCUCUACGGAUUUGUCGGGGGCCCGCUCAAGCGGUGGGGCAUGUGGUUUGUUUCGUCGCCCCGCGGGGGUCCUUCCCCGGGUUUGGCCUCCCCUGCCUGCUCUUGUGUGNUGGUCUUUUUCCUUCGGGUUGGCCGGGGGGCCGGUGGUGCCUGGUUGUCGUCUGCUCGUGUCGUGGGGUGUUGGGUUUUGUCCCGCCCCGGGCGCCCCCCCUCCGUUUUGUUGCUUNCGCGUGGGGCGGGGCCCUCUUGUCGGGCUGCCGUUGUCUCUUCGGGGGGUGGUGGGGGUGGCGUCCNGUCCUCCUGCCCCUUCUUUCCUGGGCCGCCCCCGUGCUUCCCUGGCCGGUUCCGNGGGNNGCUUNGCCGCGNGGCGGGGCCCCUCCCCCCCNGCCGGUCUCAGUU